GAGGGUAUAGCUCAGUGGUAGAGAGCAUGCUUAGGACACACGAGGUCCUGGGUUCAAUACCCAGUACCUCCG
RNAcentral lists this transfer RNA (72 nucleotides) under Camelus bactrianus (Bactrian camel). It matches the Rfam family "tRNA". From Rfam's summary of the family: Transfer RNA (tRNA) molecules are approximately 80 nucleotides in length. Their secondary structure includes four short double-helical elements and three loops (D, anti-codon, and T loops). Lineage: Eukaryota; Metazoa; Chordata; Mammalia; Artiodactyla; Camelidae. RNAcentral also lists the same sequence under 3 other names. The record is from Rfam by way of RNAcentral.